Molecule: long non-coding RNA, 819 nt
Organism: Raphanus sativus (radish)
Lineage: Eukaryota; Viridiplantae; Streptophyta; Magnoliopsida; Brassicales; Brassicaceae
Exons: 3
Source: RefSeq, a predicted model, not a curated record
CUCGUGUACAAGUAAAGGUUCUCCAUACCUGGAAGCAAUACACAAAACUUUCAGGAGAAUCAUUGGAAAUUGUUUUGUCUGAUGCACAAGGAACAAAAAUUCAAGCCUCCUGUAAGAAGACUUACCUCGAUAAGUUGACAAGGAAACUUCCAAAUGUGCUUGGUGUUGGAAUGUGGAGAAACCUCGAAAAAUUCAACAUCACUAACCCUGGUGUUUCCUUCAGAUCUACCAAACACCAAUACAAGAUCAACUUCGUCUAUGCCACUGAUAUCACUCCAUCAUCAAUCAAAAACGACAGCAUGUUUCUGAGUUUGGUGGAUUUCGAAACUAUUGAGAAUGGAGUGGAAGAUCCAAACAUCUUAAUUGGUAUAUCUGUAGCUUUAAAGUUUCAUGUUAUAUUUGUUGUUCAACCUGAACUUUAUCGUUUUUUUUUUUGCAACUUGCAGAUGUUAUUGGAGAAGUGUCUGAUUUGGGAGCUCUACAGACUGUUCAGUGCUCAGGAAAACCAAAAAAGAAAAUCGAGUUCAGUUUGACAGAUAUUGUGUAAGUUAAACCAUAGAUUUUUUUUUAUCAUUAUAAUUAUUAGUUUGACAUAUAUAUUUUUUCAGUGGCCGUAGAAUUAAUUGCUGUCUGUGGGGAAAGUUUGCUGAAAACACUAAAGCUAACUGUGACGAGGCUGGUGAAGAUUCAGUUAUAUGCCUCCUACGUUUUGUGAAAGUUGGCACCUACAGAAAUGAGAUUCAAAUUUCAAACUCAUAUGAUGCUUCUCAAGUAUUUUUCAACCCGCCAAUUGCAGAGUCUGAGGCUUUUUUCAAAAGG